Molecule: unclassified non-coding RNA, 22 nt
Filed under: Chlamydomonas reinhardtii
Lineage: Eukaryota; Viridiplantae; Chlorophyta; Chlorophyceae; Chlamydomonadales; Chlamydomonadaceae
Description: small RNA Cre_2189
Source: RNAcentral
UACAUGGUUACGCGGUUACCCC